This is a transfer RNA of 73 nucleotides. It matches the Rfam family "tRNA". Rfam says of the family: Transfer RNA (tRNA) molecules are approximately 80 nucleotides in length. Their secondary structure includes four short double-helical elements and three loops (D, anti-codon, and T loops). The record is from Rfam.
GCCCUUGUAGCUCAGCUGGCAGAGCACCACCAUGGUAAGGUGGGGGUCAGCGGUUCAAAUCCGCUCGAGGGCU